RNAcentral lists this ribosomal RNA (21 nucleotides) under Sclerotinia sclerotiorum. RNAcentral's name for it is "partial 28S ribosomal RNA". Lineage: Eukaryota; Fungi; Ascomycota; Leotiomycetes; Helotiales; Sclerotiniaceae. The record is from RNAcentral.
UUGUGCCUAUACACGUUUGUC